This 491-nucleotide ribosomal RNA is filed under the name uncultured bacterium. RNAcentral's name for it is "partial 16S ribosomal RNA". It matches the Rfam family "Bacterial small subunit ribosomal RNA", at positions 29 to 507 of the family's 1533-position model. The record is from RNAcentral.
AGUGAACGCUGGCGGUAGGCCUAACACAUGCAAGUCGAACGGCAGCACAGUAAGAGCUUGCUCUUACGGGUGGCGAGUGGCGGACGGGUGAGGAAUACAUCGGAAUCUACUUUUCGGUGGGGGAUAAGGAGGGAAACCUUCCCCUAUUACGCAAUACACCUUCGGGUUGAAAGCAGGGAUUUUUCGAACCUUCGCCGUUUAAAUGACCGAAGUCGGAUUAGCUAGUUGGCGGGGUAAAGGCCCACCAAGGCGACGAUCCGUAGCUGGUCUGAGAGGAUGAUCAGCCACACUGGAACUGAGACACGGUCCAGACUCCUACGGGAGGCAGCAGUGGGGAAUAUUGGACAAUGGGCGCAAGCCUGAUCCAGCCAUACCGCGUGGGUGAAGAAGGCCUUCGGGUUGUAAAGCCCUUUUGUUGGGAAAGAAAAGCAGCAGGUUAAUACCCCGCUGUUCUGACGGUACCCAAAGAAUAAGCACCGGCUAACUUCGUG